This 425-nucleotide ribosomal RNA is filed under the name uncultured bacterium. Its description in RNAcentral is "bacterial SSU rRNA". It matches the Rfam family "Bacterial small subunit ribosomal RNA", at positions 354 to 796 of the family's 1533-position model. The record is from RNAcentral.
GUGGGGAAUCUUAGACAAUGGGGGAAACCCUGAUCUAGCCAUGCCGCGUGAGCGAUGAAGGCCUUAGGGUUGUAAAGCUCUUUCAGCUGGGAAGAUAAUGACUGUACCAGCAGAAGAAGCCCCGGCUAACUCCGUGCCAGCAGCCGCGGUAAUACGGAGGGGGCUAGCGUUGUUCGGAAUUACUGGGCGUAAAGCGCACGUAGGCGGACCGGAAAGUCAGAGGUGAAAUCCCAGGGCUCAACCUUGGAACUGCCUUUGAAACUCCUGGUCUUGAGGUCGAGAGAGGUGAGUGGAAUUCCGAGUGUAGAGGUGAAAUUCGUAGAUAUUCGGAGGAACACCAGUGGCGAAGGCGGCUCACUGGCUCGAUACUGACGCUGAGGUGCGAAAGCGUGGGGAGCAAACAGGAUUAGAUACCCGUGUAGUCC